RNAcentral lists this long non-coding RNA (389 nucleotides) under Rattus norvegicus (Norway rat). RNAcentral's name for it is "long non-coding RNA NONRATT033737". Lineage: Eukaryota; Metazoa; Chordata; Mammalia; Rodentia; Muridae. The record is from RNAcentral.
GAACCAUCAGGCACCUCUGUGGCCAGCCUGAGGGACCCAGCAACAGCAGAAAACAUCAUCACUAUCUGCUAAGAGAGACAUUGGACAUGGAUUUUAAAGAAGACAGAUUCUUGUCUUUAUGCUGAUGAGGGCAAUGGUUUUGUCGUAUAAAAUAACACCAAGAGGCCAUCUUGUAAUGGAGGGAGAAAGAAAGGACGUCUGUCCAGUGGCAUUCUAACAGGGGCAGCGAGAGAACAUGUUGUGUGGGAAGAAAAAAAAGAACAGAAUGUUUACUAACCAGAUAAUUGGCAGGUAGCAGACAUCAGACAUGUUCUUGUUCUUUUAUUUUCCCACCCGAUUGAAUUUAGCCAGUAGCAUGGCUUGCUUUAACAAAUAAAAUGCAGCCGGUA